Molecule: non-coding RNA, 296 nt
Organism: Drosophila melanogaster (fruit fly)
Lineage: Eukaryota; Metazoa; Arthropoda; Insecta; Diptera; Drosophilidae
Source: Ensembl
CACAAAUGAAACAUUAAAAUAAGUUGGAUAUCAUCUGAGUGUUAGUGUUUGUCUAUUGUGUGCCAUCUGGAGCGACUUGUCUGCACCGCCGGCGAAGCCUUUUCCGCUCAUUCUGUCACGCAGUGUUUGCCGUUCGUAAAUGUUUUUAGUUCGGCUAAAUGCAAUUGUGGCCACUUCUUGCACUCCCUGCACUUCCUGCCAACGCACGUGGCCCACUCGACUGCCUUCAAUUGCCAGACGGGGCGUAUACGCAAUUUAAAGAGCUCUUUAAGUAUGAGUGCGAUAAUUGUCGCUUU